AGAAUCCUUAGCUUCACCUUCCCACGAAAGGGAAACAUUAAGUUCAUAUCCAGGAAUGAUUUUACCCUUGCGAACAUUAACGUAGGCCUCACCGUCGACCUUCUCGAGCUUCUUGAUCUUGAUGAAAAGGUUUCCUUCGCCGUCAAGAAUAACGAGAUUAGAAAGAAGCUUAGAGAGGAGAUUCCGCGACCAUUCCAAACAAUUGGUCUCUGCCCAAUGCCAAUUAUGGACAUUGGCACCAUCUGGUCUUUCCUCUACGAUCCAGCGCUUAUCGCCUUCUCCGUACUUGGCCAUGUAAGAGCGGAAUCUAGAAAUUUGAAAUGGUCGAUUGAGAGAUAAAGAUUGUAUCUUGGGAUCAAGAGACUCGAAAACAGAUUGAUAGAGAGGAGAAGGAAAGAAAUAUAAGAAGGGGAGUCUGGAGCGUUCGGCCAAACCUAGAAGGAUCUAGAAAUUUUCCUUUUAUUUCUUUAGUCAAACAGAUUUGGUACAAAAGGACAUAGGUUCUUGGAAGGAUCUAGAACAGUGAGUUUGAUUAGGGUUUUGUGG
RNAcentral lists this unclassified non-coding RNA (546 nucleotides) under Hevea brasiliensis (rubber tree). Lineage: Eukaryota; Viridiplantae; Streptophyta; Magnoliopsida; Malpighiales; Euphorbiaceae. The record is from RNAcentral.